GGUGCCCCCCUCGUGUAUUGCGGAAUAACCAAUGUAUGCGUCUAGCGAAAGCGUUAAGCACUACAAACAUGGGAGUACGCCGGCAACGGUUGAAACUCCAAGGGAAAUUGACGGGGCCCGCACCAAGCGGAGGAAACAUGUGGUUUUAAUUUCGAUGAUACGCGAGGAAACCUUUACCCCGGGCUUGAACUGCAGGAGGAACGAUCCAGGAGAUGGUGAGGCCCUUCGGGGCUCCUGUGGAGGUGCUGCAUGGUUGCCGUCAGCUCGUGCCCGUGAGGUGUCGGCUUAAGUGCCCAUAACGAGCGCAACCCUUUUCGUCAGUUGCCAUCAGGUGAUGCUGGGCACUCUGGCGAUACUGCCACCGUAAGGUGUGAGGAAGGUGGGGAUGACGUCAAAUCAGCACGGCCCUUACGUCCGGGGCUACACACGUGUUACAAUGGGGCAUACAGAAGGGCGGAGAUGAACGCAAGUGCGAUCAAAUCUUAAAAGUGUCCCUCAGUUCGGAUUGGGGUCUGCAACCCGACCCAAAGAAGCUGGAUUCGCUAGUAAUCGCGCAUCAGCCAUGGCGCGGUGAAUACGUUCCCGGGCCUUGUACACACCGCCCGUCAAGCCAUGAAAGCCGGGGGCGCCUGAAGUCCGUGACCGCAAGGGUCGGCCUAGGGUGAAACCGGUGAUUGGGGCUAAGUCGUAACAAGUGCCUAAUCUAGAGCACCGCGAGUCUCCGUGCUCGAAUCACCGGCCGUUGUUUCAA
RNAcentral lists this ribosomal RNA (751 nucleotides) under uncultured bacterium. RNAcentral describes it as "bacterial SSU rRNA". It matches the Rfam family "Bacterial small subunit ribosomal RNA", at positions 808 to 1533 of the family's 1533-position model. The record is from RNAcentral.